RNAcentral lists this ribosomal RNA (407 nucleotides) under uncultured bacterium. RNAcentral's name for it is "partial 16S ribosomal RNA". It matches the Rfam family "Bacterial small subunit ribosomal RNA", at positions 28 to 526 of the family's 1533-position model. The record is from RNAcentral.
GACGAACGCUGGCGGCGUGCCUAAUACAUGCAAGUAGGACGCAGUUGCGAACGGGUGAGUAACGCGUAGGUAACUGCCUAUUAGAGGGGGAUAACAAUUGGAAACGAUAGCUAAUACCGCAUACUAGUAGAUGGACCUGCGUUGUAUUAGCUAGUAGGUAGGGUAAUGGCCUACCUAGGCGACGAUACAUAGCCGACCUUGAGGGGGGGUCGGGCACAAUUGGACUGGGACAAGGGCCAGACUUCUACGGGAGGGAACAGGAGGGGAAUCUCGGGAAUGGGGGGAACGCGGACCGGACAACGGCGCGGGGGGUGAGAAGGUUUUCGGGGCGUAAAGCUCUUGUUGUUAGGGAGCGGUAUUUAACCAGAAAGCGACGGCUAACUACGUGCCAGCCGCCGCGGUAAUUC